UUUAUUUCAAAUGUGAUCUAUUGUUAAUUGCUUAAGGCUUUCGUGUCUUUAAAAGAGUCUGAUUCUUUCUUUUUUCGAUGCUAUUGUCUUCUGUUCAUGUAGAUAAAAUUUAUAGCUUACAUUAAUUGUUGGUUUGUUUGAAUUGUCUCUAAUACUGCUGAAAUUUUUUACAUCAUGGAAGCCAUUAUUUGUUCACUAAUUAACACCUUUAUAGGAACCAUAAUCACGGUUUCUCAAGAAUCCUAUCAUUUCUCCUCCUUGUUUUUUGGUUUUUCAGCCUCACGUAUACAUUUGAUGUGUACAAUCUUUCCUUAAAGACAAAAUGUUUGGAUUUAUGAAUUCACCUGCAAAUAAUUCAACUAAUGAAGAUCUUCCGCCCCCUUCUACCGCUAAUCCUUUUGAUUCAGAUGAUGAUGAAUCCAAUGCCAAACAAGCAGGUCAGCGUGC
RNAcentral lists this unclassified non-coding RNA (447 nucleotides) under Hevea brasiliensis (rubber tree). Lineage: Eukaryota; Viridiplantae; Streptophyta; Magnoliopsida; Malpighiales; Euphorbiaceae. The record is from RNAcentral.